This 347-nucleotide long non-coding RNA is filed under the name Vitis vinifera (wine grape). Its description in RNAcentral is "long non-coding RNA (VVIN_LNC007871)". Lineage: Eukaryota; Viridiplantae; Streptophyta; Magnoliopsida; Vitales; Vitaceae. The record is from RNAcentral.
GUAAAUAUGAUAUAAGCAAAACUUGUAAAUAUAGAUUAUUUGUUAGGACAAGAGUGAGAAUUACCUCAAAUUAAUAAACCAGUAAUACCAACAUCUAGUAGUUUAUAUGAAAAUUAAGAUGGAAGUGCAAGUAUAACCUUUGGAAAUUAUAAAACUGUAAAUGUAGAGGUAAAGUCAGAUAGUGAGAUCAAAAUUGUAAAUGUUAUAGAAGAAGAGAUUUUAUUAAAUAUUGAAAAGUAGAAAACCUAUACAAAAACUUAGAGCUAGUUAAUAUAAUAUUAGAGGAAUUCAGUAACCCCACGUUACUAGGUAUAUAAAAAAAACUUUGUUGAUAUAAUGUGUAAAUA